AGACAGCAGUCGCCGCGGUAAUACGUAGGUCCCGAGCGUUGUCCGGAUUUAUUGGGCGUAAAGGGAGCGCAGGCGGUUUAGUAAGUCUGAAGUUAAAGGCAUUGGCUCAACCAAUGUAUGCUUUGGAAACUGUUAGACUUGAGUGCAGAAGGGGAGAGUGGAAUUCCAUGUGUAGCGGUGAAAUGCGUAGAUAUAUGGAGGAACACCGGUGGCGAAAGCGGCUCUCUGGUCUGUCACUGACGCUGAGGCUCGAAAGCGUGGGUAGCGAACAGGAUUAGAUACCCCUGUAGUCCCUGUCUCUUAUACC
Molecule: ribosomal RNA, 307 nt
Filed under: uncultured bacterium
Lineage: Bacteria
Description: partial 16S ribosomal RNA
Rfam family: Bacterial small subunit ribosomal RNA
Source: RNAcentral